This 422-nucleotide ribosomal RNA is filed under the name uncultured bacterium. Its description in RNAcentral is "bacterial SSU rRNA". It matches the Rfam family "Bacterial small subunit ribosomal RNA", at positions 917 to 1338 of the family's 1533-position model. The record is from RNAcentral.
GGACCCGCACAAGCGGUGGAGCAUGUGGUUUAAUUCGAUGCAACGCGAAGAACCUUACCUGGUCUUGACAUCCUGCGAACUUUCUAGAAAUAGAUUGGUGCCUUCGGGAACGCAGUGACAGGUGCUGCAUGGCUGUCGUCAGCUCGUGUCGUGAGAUGUUGGGUUAAGUCCCGUAACGAGCGCAACCCCUAUCCUUAUUUGCCAGCACAUUAUGGUGGGAACUAUAAGGAGACUGCCGGUGAUAAACCGGAGGAAGGCGGGGACGACGUCAAGUCAUCAUGGCCCUUACGACCAGGGCUACACACGUGCUACAAUGGGAUGGACAAAGAGUCGCGAAGCCGCGAGGUGUAGCUAAUCUCAUAAACCUUCUCGUAGUCCGGAUUGGAGUCUGCAACUCGACUCCAUGAAGUCGGAAUCGCUAG